CCUACGGGAGGCAGCAGUGGGGAAUAAUGGACAAUGGGGGCAACCCUGAUCCAGCCAUGCCGCGUGUGUGAAGAAGGCCCUCGGGUUGUAAAGCACUUUCAGUGAGGAAGAACGCCUGGUGGUUAAUACCCAUCAGGAAAGACAUCACUCACAGAAGAAGCACCGGCUAACUCCGUGCCAGCAGCCGCGGUAAUACGGAGGGUGCGAGCGUUAAUCGGAAUUACUGGGCGUAAAGCGCGCGUAGGUGGCUUGAUAAGCCGGUUGUGAAAGCCCCGGGCUCAACCUGGGAACGGCAUCCGGAACUGUCAAGCUAGAGUGCAGGAGAGGAAGGUAGAAUUCCCGGUGUAGCGGUGAAAUGCGUAGAGAUCGGGAGGAAUACCAGUGGCGAAGGCGGCCUUCUGGACUGACACUGACACUGAGGUGCGAAAGCGUGGGUAGCAAACAGGAUUAGAUACCCGUGUAGUC
RNAcentral lists this ribosomal RNA (465 nucleotides) under Vreelandella stevensii. RNAcentral describes it as "partial 16S ribosomal RNA". It matches the Rfam family "Bacterial small subunit ribosomal RNA", at positions 338 to 795 of the family's 1533-position model. Lineage: Bacteria; Pseudomonadati; Pseudomonadota; Gammaproteobacteria; Oceanospirillales; Halomonadaceae. The record is from RNAcentral.